Molecule: ribosomal RNA, 1017 nt
Filed under: uncultured bacterium
Lineage: Bacteria
Also listed under: 1 other name
Description: bacterial SSU rRNA
Rfam family: Bacterial small subunit ribosomal RNA
Source: RNAcentral
UGAGGAAUAUUGGUCAAUGGACGAGAGUCUGAACCAGCCAAGUAGCGUGAAGGAUGACUGCCCUAUGGGUUGUAAACUUCUUUUAUACGGGAAUAAAGUUAGCCACGUGUGGCUUUUUGUAUGUACCGUAUGAAUAAGGAUCGGCUAACUCCGUGCCAGCAGCCGCGGUAAUACGGAGGAUCCGAGCGUUAUCCGGAUUUAUUGGGUUUAAAGGGAGCGUAGGCGGGUUGUUAAGUCAGUUGUGAAAGUUUGCGGCUCAACCGUAAAAUUGCAGUUGAUACUGGCGACCUUGAGUGCAACAGAGGUAGGCGGAAUUCGUGGUGUAGCGGUGAAAUGCUUAGAUAUCACGAAGAACUCCGAUUGCGAAGGCAGCUUACUGGAUUGUAACUGACGCUGAUGCUCGAAAGUGUGGGUAUCAAACAGGAUUAGAUACCCUGGUAGUCCACACAGUAAACGAUGAAUACUCGCUGUUGGUGAUAUACGGUCAGCGGCCAAGCGAAAGCAUUAAGUAUUCCACCUGGGGAGUACGCCGGCAACGGUGAAACUCAAAGGAAUUGACGGGGGCCCGCACAAGCGGAGGAACAUGUGGUUUAAUUCGAUGAUACGCGAGGAACCUUACCCGGGCUUAAAUUGCAACUGACUGAACCGGAAACGGUUCUUUCUUCGGACAGUUGUGAAGGUGCUGCAUGGUUGUCGUCAGCUCGUGCCGUGAGGUGUCGGCUUAAGUGCCAUAACGAGCGCAACCCUUAUCGAUAGUUACUAGCAGGUCAUGCUGAGGACUCUAUUGAGACUGCCGUCGUAAGAUGUGAGGAAGGUGGGGAUGACGUCAAAUCAGCACGGCCCUUACGUCCGGGGCUACACACGUGUUACAAUGGGGGGUACAGAAGGCAGCUACACGGCGACGUGGUGCUAAUCCCGAAAGCCUCUCUCAGUUCGGAUUGGAGUCUGCAACCCGACUCCAUGAAGCUGGAUUCGCUAGUAAUCGCGCAUCAGCCACGGCGCGGUGAAUACGUUCCC